UCCGAGUUGACCCCGGCAGUCUCCUACGAGUCCCCGCCAUUACGCGCUGGCAACAUAGGACAAGGGUUGCGCUCGUUGCGGGACUUAACCCAACAUCUCACGACACGAGCUGACGACAACCAUGCACCACCUGUGCAGGGCCCCGAAGGACACCGUAUCUCUACGGCUUUCCGGUAUAUGUCAAACCCAGGUAAGGUGGGGAUGACGUACCC
This 212-nucleotide unclassified non-coding RNA is filed under the name uncultured Acidimicrobiia bacterium. RNAcentral's name for it is "contains 16S-23S intergenic spacer region". Lineage: Bacteria; Bacillati; Actinomycetota; Acidimicrobiia. The record is from RNAcentral.